UACGUAGGCAGCAAGCGUUGUUCGGAGUUACUGGGCGUAAAGGGUGCGUAGGCGGUUGUUUAAGUUUGGUGUGAAAUCCCCCGGCUCAACUGGGAGGGUGCGCCGAAUACUGAAUGACUAGAGUGCGGGAGAGGAUAGUGGAAUUCCUGGUGUAGCGGUGAAAUGCGUAGAUAUCAGGAGGAACACCGGUGGUGUAGACGGCUAUCUGGACCGUAACUGACGCUGAGGCACGAAAGCAUGGGGAUCAAACAGG
Molecule: ribosomal RNA, 253 nt
Filed under: uncultured bacterium
Lineage: Bacteria
Description: partial 16S ribosomal RNA
Rfam family: Bacterial small subunit ribosomal RNA
Source: RNAcentral